CCGCCGCGCGCGCACGCCGGAAGCCGUCAGAGCCCGCCACCGCCCAAUCAGCGCGGCGACACCCCCCCCCUUCCCGCUCCGCCUGGUCUCGCCCCGUUGCCAUGGCGGCGGCCCCGCGGCCGCGCAGGCUUCACAGGCCGGGGCACUCCCGGGCAGGAAAGCGGCCCGAAAACCAUUCAUUCUUUCUUUUCGCCUUUCGACGGACGGACAGACAGCGGCGCAGGAGCGCGUGCACGGGGCGCCCGGGGCAGCCGUGGCACGGAUCCGGGCGGGAGAGGCGUCCCCGCCUCCCGAGGACAGCAGGCCGCAGCCCCGGGGUGAGGGGCUGCCCGCCCGCCCCCCGCACACCUGGUUCACCUGCCGGCUCUCCUGGCACAGGGCAAAAUUAGGCACCCUUUAAGGAGCUAUUUGCCAUUAAUAGAACGCUGAGAGGGGAUCUUAUAAAUGUUUAUAAAUAUCUCAAGGGUGGGUGUCAAGAGGAUGGACCAGACUCUUUUCAGUGGUGCCCAGUGACAGGAUGAGGGGCAAUGGGCACGGACUGAAGCACAGGGGGUUCCUUCUAAACAUGAGGAGAAACUUCUUCACUUUGAGGUGCCAGAGCCCUGGAACAGGCUGCCCGGAGAGGCUGUGGAGUCUCCUUCUCUGGAGACAUUCAAACCCAGCUGGACACAUUCCUGUGUGAUCUGCUCUGGUGAACCUGCUUUAGCAGGUGGGUUGGACUGGAUCAUCUCCAGAGGUCCCUUCAACCACAACCAUUCUGUGGUUCUGUUAAUAUUGUGUUAUUUUAUAGCUCGUCAUCCUAGAAGAGCUUUUACACUCCCCAAGAGGUUUUGCCCAGGUCUGCUCGGCACAUGGUUCGCAUUUUUUCCAAUGGACUCCAAAUAAAGGAAAGAAUAAAUACAAUCUCCUGGUUUGCCUCUGGUGGUCCACGAUUUUUGACUCGUGUUCCUCAAAGUUCCACUGACUUCCAUGAAGCUUGAGAAUUCAGGAACAAACCCCCACCUUUUACUCCUGUGCCACGAGCUACAUCAUGAGUCUGCUAUGAACAACAGCCUGUUACAAUUAGGCAUAGCAGAAACAAUAUAAACGCAAGGGGGCUUUAAUAGUUAUAUGAGUUAUGUAAAUAAUGGCGGUUGUGAUUUUUUUUUUCCAACUUGAACUUUACAGAUUAGUGGGAAGAAUCAGAAAUUUUUAAAAACCAGAAUAUAGGCCAUAAUAUUUGACCUUUUUUUUUUUAAAGAAAAAAAAAAAACCUUAAAUCAUAACCAGAUAUUGAGAAUGAGGAGAAGACAGAGUAUUGCCUAGGAGGGUGAAGAGGCUAUGGAAACAAACGUGGACUAAUCCAGUGCCAGCCAGCUCUAAUGGAAGGACACUCUGGAACCGUAGCAGCUUUACCUGGUUUUUGUAGAGAUGGCAUCCUGCAGAGUUUCACAGAUAUAAGUGAUUCAAGACCCAAUGUGUAUUUUAGGAUGUACAUAGAGCUCUGUGGAGUCUGGCUCCACAUGAGGAUGAUGGCAUGGUGUCAUGGAAGGCUGGGUGAUCCUUCAUCCCCUGGCUGUGGUCCACAAGCAGGUCAUGAGGUAUUUCAAUCUGCCUGAUGAACUACCACAAGUAAUGGUGGAAGAGAGACAGAGGACUCCAAUCUUCCAGCUUCCUAGCAAUUUUAUGAAAAUGGAUGGCCAGGAGGAGGAAGGAGAUCCUGCUACUACCUUCUGCUAAGGGAAAACUUCCAGUGUGAACUCAUUUCUUAUUAGACAACUGAAAAUUCAUUCAAGCUCUCCUUCGAGGCACAGAUGUCCGAGAGAACAGUCUUUAGUAGUUGCACUGCUGAGAAUUUAUUCACAUGGGAAUAGCUCUCACUCCUGCGGACACCAGCAAAGACAAGGCACAGCCAGUAUUUGUAUUUUGGAUAUAUGGAGGCUCUGCAGUGAGAUGAUGGCUAUCACAAUGUGAAUGCCUGCUGCUCCUUUGUAGUGAAUAUAAGACUGUGCCUCUUACGAAUAGAUGGGAUACCUGGAAAUCGUUGUCAUGCUGCUCUUUCAGAUAAUAAACAUUCCUGUGUCCUUCUGAAGGUGGGAUGUACUGUACUUGAUGCAGAAGAAGUAUUAAACACACACGUUUUGAGUGUCUGCAACAGACAAAGCUGUUGAUAGAGACUGAUACAUGAGCGGCUUUUUUACAUGCAGAAGGCCAUUGAUCUCAAACUUGAACUAGACGAGUUAAGGUUUAUUCAGCAUGAGAUGUUCUUCUGUAGCAUUGGAGGGGGUGCACGUGAUUGCAGCCUGCCAGGAAACUGUAAGUCACUCUCUUUCUGCACACACUAUAGCAGUUGCUUCAAUACCUCUGGGAAAGAGUAAAACUUGCCCUCUGCUUUUCUGUCCUGUAGAAGGAACAUGGGUCUUUCAGGCCAACUUUUUCCAGGACUUAGCUUACCAGGGAAGCAGACUGCAGUCUCCCAAAGGAUCGUCAACACCCUACAAAAUCUGGAGGUUCCCUACCUGUCUUUAAUCCCCUUCACACAUCUCAUUUACCCACAUUCAAAAGCCCAAUUUCAAAUGUCUCCUUUUUGUUUGGUCAUUUUUCCUGUGACAUAAUGUAAAUAUUUUUUUCAGAGUUGAACAGCCACACUUUUAAAGUUUCUGGUAUUUAAAUUGCUGGUUAAAAUGAGAAGAUUCCUCUCAGGUGGCAUAUUUGUGCUGACCUGGUUAAAUGAAUAGCUUAUCUGUACAUCAUUUUUCUUCUCUGCUUAAUCAGAAUAUAUUCCUGGGAGACCUAUUUGCAAGCUUGUCUACAGAGACGUCUAUACAGGAGCAAGAUGGAGCCUCUUCAGAUUGCAUCUUCACGGUUGCGGUGCUGUAAUUAUGAAACAAAAGUGAAACCAAGGCAUUAUAGUUCCUAGUUUUUAUAUACAACAACUUUUACUUGUUUUAGAUGGCAAAUUGCUGCUAAACUAACAUUUCUAUAAGCAUUACAGUGUCCAUAUAAAUGCUACUAUAAUGAAAGGGAAUGUCUUUAUCUGAGCUGGUUGUGGUUAUGUCAGUAGGCACCAGCAGAUUGCCUCAGCCAUUAUUGCUCUUUCUGUGAAUGUGAUAUCCGGUCGUGAUAUUGAUUCAGUCUCCAUUUUCGUAUCAAUAGCUUAAAAAAAUAAAAUUAAAAAAAAAAAAAAAAGCUUGUAAAAUAAUCUAAUUUAAAAUUUAACUGGAUUGUUAAGAACACAGUUGCCAAAUAGGCUGUGUAUGUGUGGAGCCUAACUGAAACAGAGGGGAAGGCCACCAGGAAUCUUGCUAUAAAAAUGAAGGAACAUCCCCUCCAGUUCAGCUCUGCCUUGAACACUCGUCUUUUGGUUCAACUAUGGGAAGGUGUCUGAAGUACUGGGUGAGUUUCCUACAUCUCUUGAUGCAAUCAAGGGCAAAGUGCAGCAUUUUCAUCCUGUCAUUCCCUUUUAUCAAUCUCAGUUAUUAAGCAAGGGGCAGAUAUUAAGGUCAACCUUGAUUUAAAUGUUUAAUAGACAUUUCUCAUUAGACAAACUAUAUGUGUCCUAUUAUAUUUCUUUCAGGGCCUGUCUCUCAUUGGAUGCAUGACAGACUGUCCUCCCGGAUAUAGUCCAGUGAGCAGGAGUAGAAAUGUGCUCGAACAUGGCAUAAUUACAAUGAACAUAAAGGGAGAAAGAGGAGCUGCUUCAUCAAUGCUGUUUCCAUACUGUGGUUGGUCUCAGGAAAGGAUUGCGUUGAUGAAUUAGUCCAAGAAUGCUCCAGCCGUGGAAGAAUACAUUUUACAAGAAAAUCCAUAGGUGACUAAUAGGCCAGAUUGUUCAUCCUUCACCCACGGUGGUGACAAUUGCCACAAAAGCUCCCAUGUGCUCAUAACAGUACAGAAGUAAACUGGGCCUGGAUUCUGAAGAAAGGAGCCAAACAAGGUGCUAGAUCUUCUUCUAGGAGAUUCCCAAAAGAGGUGUAGCUCACCAGAGUUGGACAUUCGCUCCCCAAGCAUCCUGCUAUCCCUUCACGUCUACCAAGUGCUCUUCACACUUCACCCUGCCUGUAUCCACUUGGCUUCUGCCUGUGACUGGAACCAACGGGAAACCUCUGGCUCCAUUCCCCUCAACACAGGAUGCAAAAGCACAGGCUGUAUGAGGCAAAAAUGAGAGUUAGAAUGGUUUCCUGGUGAUUAACAGACUGGUAAGAUCCAUUACACCAUCUGGUUACCUCCCUCCUAUAAGCAGCAAUGUGUGAUAGUGGACCAGCUCUUUUAAGCAGUUCCAGAAUACCAUUUUCCUCUCCACUUCUGUUUUUCUGACAUCAGACUACACCUGAGUACAGGUGUUGUUCUGUCCCUCCUAGGGGUACCACAUGUCCAUCAGCAACUUUGCUCUUUACUUCCUAAAUCAAGAAUUAAUAAGGAGAAGAUUUUGCUAACACCACUUUAGGUGUGCACGUCAGAAAUAAACUGGUUGUAUUGUCAGAAAAACAUUGGUAGCUGACAAGUCCUGCAGAGAGAUUAAAUACAUGGGAGGGCUGUGAGCAAUACGAGACAUGCUGCUGAUGAUAAGCUAAAAUCAGUGUUUGUUCCUCAGAACUCCCUGUGUCAAAAGAGUCGGUUGCAACGCUUCAGCUCGCUGUUGUGCAUUCCUGGUACCUGACCUUCUCCACGUGGCUGUUGCGCAUCUAUUGGCCCGCGAGCUUCCCACUAUGCUGAGAAGAGGGAGGGGAAAGGAAGAGCAGAAGAAGGCAAGAGGGGAAAUAAAUACCUAAAUUGUUUUUCUCUGAUGUUACACAUAGUCUAGGGAAAAGGACAUUGGCAGGAGCUGAGUGAUACCUGAACGCUGCUGUACUAACACGACAGCUUUAUGGGGAGGCAGUAUUGGGUCACAAGCCUGAUUCCCCCUACUUUUUGUUCAAUAACUGCUAAACAGGGGGAAGACAGACAUUUUCAGGGUAAAAACUGUGAUAGAGAGCAGACUUGAAGCCUUCCUUUGCCCUGUGACUAUGUGGUGUGGUUACACAGCUAAAAAAUAUUGACCAUUUAAUCUGAAAUAAGUGCAGAAGAGGAAGGUAGAAUGAAUCCUGUGCAGUUUGCUGCUUUCUGCUUGCUGCAAUCCGCAUGGGCGAUACCCUCCCAGUCCCACUGACAGCCCCACGGCAGAGCAGGCACGUGGGCUCCGCAGUGCAAUGCAAAACCUGAGCUUAUGCAGCUGAAACAUUCCUCCCCCAUCAUUUGUGCUGGUUUUCCUCCUUCCUCGCCCUUUUCACUGCUGCCUGCAGCCACUGCAGCUUGCUUUCCCUCUCCCUCCCAUCCCCUGUCCUCCUGUCCCCUCAUUUCCCGCAGCCUCCUCUGGCACACGCUGUGGCCUCGGGAAGAGAGAGGCAGGAGCAGGGGAUGGCAGGUCACUGUGACAGCUCAAGGUAACCUGUGCUCGUGGCUUUUCCUGGCAGAGCACUACAGCCCAAGCCAAAGGAAAUUCUGACGCUGAUUUUACUAACAGGAUAAAAUCAGCCUCUAUUGGCACAGACAGAAUUCAGCCCUGAAGGUAUAUGAAUAAUGUUUCCCUAACUGGCAUCUGAUCUUGCUUCUUGCAUUAUGCUCUGGUUAGCGGGAGACGAGUGAGGCCUCUCAGACCAUCCAGUGGUUCGUGGUGUUCGUGAUAAACUAUGCAAACCCACAGAAGGAAGGAGGAAAAACAAGACAGAAGCUGAUACGCGGGUCAGAAAUCACCACUCCAGGCAGCGGUCCUGAGCCUGCUCAUCCAGUUAACCAGGUACAUCUACAGACACCGAGCUGCAGAUGACAUCACAGCAGCAGAUGACAUCACAGCAGCAGAUGACAUCACAGCAGCUGAUGACCUCAGCCUCCAAUAAGGGCAAUGGAAAACCCUCCCUGCACUUCCCUGCAGAGCUGAAGUAAACCCACUUUUCGUCCUGCUCUGGGUUGCUACGCUGCUGGUUCAGUCAUACAGACGAAAUAUGCUCUUCUCAGACAUUGAAGCUAUUAUUUCUCUAAGAUGAAACAGCAUCCCACACUCUUAUUAACCUGUGCCCUACUUCAGAAGUAAAUCUAAUUUAGGGGGUUCGUAGUUAGCUCAUGCUGGUGUUGGUUUGUCCCUGCGUCCGCUCUGCCUUCUCUGGAUACAUUUACACAGCGCUAUAUGUGGCAGAGCCCUGUUUACUGUAGCCUGUCGGCAUUAUUCCUCACAACAGAAUAAGGAAUUGGGGUGGUUGGAGCUUUUUGUUUCUUUGGGGAAGGGAGAAGUAAAACCAUAAAUGUUAAAAAUAUCCCUACAAAAAUGUUUUUUUAUUCAACAGAGACCGAUGUGCUGUCUGCUAAACUGAGUUGGUCAUCUGGGAUAUUCCUGCGUAUCCGGUCACCUUCCACAGAGCGCCUCAAGAGUCAUGCUGUGUGAGAGAGAAGAGGUUCAAAGGCUUUGCCAGAUUUUUGAUGGCAAACAUCAAACAAGAUGGGUAUUGUUUCACAAAUACACAAAGUAAGAGGGAAAGGGAAGUAGAAUCUUCAGCGAUGGCCACCACAGAAGCAGUACAUACAGUCAUUUAUGUGGCAGAGUCAUCUGUAGAUUAUGUUACCUAACAAGCAAUGCAAGAAAGCAAAAGAAACCCAAAACCUUUUUUAACCAAUGCUCAAUAUUUUCAAUGAUAGUCAGCGCAGUUUAUUGACUUCUUUUAAGGAAUUAAACCAUGAAGAUACGUAGAGCGUGA
Columba livia (rock pigeon) is the source of this 6707-nucleotide long non-coding RNA. RefSeq lists it as uncharacterized. The transcript has 7 exons. NCBI's taxonomy places the organism in Eukaryota, Metazoa, Chordata, Aves, Columbiformes, Columbidae. The record is from RefSeq and is a predicted model, not a curated record.